Molecule: ribosomal RNA, 766 nt
Filed under: uncultured bacterium
Lineage: Bacteria
Description: bacterial SSU rRNA
Rfam family: Bacterial small subunit ribosomal RNA
Source: RNAcentral
AUUGAACGCUGGCGGCAUGCCUAACACAUGCAAGUCGAGCGAGGUGUAGCAAUACACUUAGUGGCGGACGGGUGAGGAACACAUAGGAAUCUGCCUCAGAGCGGGGGAUAGCCCAGGGAAACUUGGAGUAAUACCGCAUGAUGUCGAAAGACCAAAGCAGGGGACCGUAAGGCCUUGCGCUCUGAGAGGAGCCUAUGUCUGAUUAGCUAGUUGGCGGGGUAAUGGCCCACCAAGGCGACGAUCAGUAACUGGUCUGAGAGGACGAUCAGUCACACCGGAACUGAGACACGGUCCGGACUCCUACGGGAGGCAGCAGUGGGGAAUAUUGGACAAUGGGCGAAAGCCUGAUCCAGCAAUGCCGCGUGUGUGAAGAAGGCCUCGGGUUGUAAAGCACUUUAGCCAGGAAAGAAAAAUGCUUGACCCAAUACGUCAAGCCUUGACGGUACCUGGAGAAUAAGCACCGGCUAACUCUGUGCCAGCAGCCGCGGUAAUACAGAGGGUGCAAGCGUUAAUCGGAUUUACUGGGCGUAAAGCGUGUGUAGGUGGCUGUUCAAGUCGGUUGUGAAAGCCCCAGGGCUCAACCUGGGAAUUGCUUCCGAGACUGAGCAGCUAGAGUACGGUAGAGGGCGGUGGAAUUUCCGGUGUAGCGGUGAAAUGCGUAGAUAUCGGAAGGAACACCAAUGGCGAAGGCAGCCGCCUGGGGCCUGUACUGACACCGAGACACGAAAAGCCGUGGGGGAUCAAACAGGAUUAGAUACCCUGGUAG